Setaria italica (foxtail millet) is the source of this 2001-nucleotide long non-coding RNA. RefSeq lists it as uncharacterized. The transcript has 4 exons. The record is from RefSeq and is a predicted model, not a curated record. NCBI's taxonomy places the organism in Eukaryota, Viridiplantae, Streptophyta, Magnoliopsida, Poales, Poaceae.
UGGUGAUUACCAAAUUGUUUAAACAAAAGAGAAAGGACUGCCAGCCUGCCAGUCUCUACCGGCUCACUAAUCAAUCGUCUUUAACACAGAUUACCGAGCCACGGCGGAACAUCUUUAGGAAAACAAACACAAAACAAAGCGCCACAAAUCUCGUGCUCUUUUUUGAUAAAAUAAAGAGAGAAUGAUGGCUGUGAGAAGCAAAGCACCAAGCCAGCCAAGGGAUUUUUGCAGAGAGAGCAAGGAAGCUCCUACCGUCCUACGCCUCUCCAAUCCUACUAGAUCGUAUUUCCUGCGGACUCCCGGUUGAUCAAUGGAAUGAUGGGUUAGAUUGCUGCGCACGCCUUUCCUUUCCUCCUUGGUCCUGGCGGAGGGAGGCGAUUCUUCUCUACGGGAAACAGGAGCUGGCAGGAGGUGUUGAUCGAACCAGCGGAUUCAUGGGUUAGACUGGCGUUCGUGCGCGCCUUUCUUGUUUGUUGGUCUUCUACGACAAGAGGACUUCCAUCAUGAAAGCAGAAAUAGAGAUGUUCCACGCCGUGAUGAUGAUGAUCGCCGCCUUGGAUCGUCGCUGUUGCUUGGAUUCAGAAAAAUUUCUGCAUCGUCAGCAUACAAGCUUGCUUUGAACGCUGUUGCUCUUCCCUGAAUUGGUGAUAGCAGGUUUUAUUGCUCGGUCAGUCUACUACUGAUUUAUACAUGCACCAAUAAUAUUCAUUGAUUCAUACAUCUUACCAGAGCACGCAUUCUUGUUCAAAUACCUACUUGUUAACUGAAGCUGAAUCAGAUUAAUUUUUUUGGAAAAUAGAAUAGUCUCCAACCUCUGCGACCGCACACAGCCAAACUGAAUCGAAUUAAUGUGGCCUCACUUUGCUUCCUUGUUGCUCCACUGCAUUAUAUCGGUGCAGGAGGUGUUCACAUAGCCAGAGAAGAUAUUUGAUCAUAUCCGGAGGGACGGAGACAGAAAGGUCAUCUAUUUUCAUGGUUGGAAUGGCUAUGGGACGGCCCCAUUCCUCAUAUCCAUAGCACAAGAACUUCGGUCAAUCAAAGCUAACAAAACUCCUCCAGAAUUAUGCUUUGAUAAAAUAGUUUAUGUAGAUUGCUCAGUGUGGUGAAGUAGAAGAGAGAUGCAAAGGAAAAUCACGGAGGAGCUCAAGCUUGAUCCUGAAACAAUGGCCAGGUUUGAUAAGCAGGAUGAGGAGGAUGACUUCAAUAGUGUGGACCAUGGCUCUAGGGAUGUGAUACCACGUGUUACGCAAGUGAUUGCCCGAACCCAGUGGAAUAGAGAUUUUUUAUGAUUUUUCCCAAUGGAAGUGAUGACGAGGUUGAUAUCAACAGUUUUGGUUUUACUCCACAUGAUCUUAUGGACAUUCAAAAGACGGUCUUUGACUAUAGAUGCCGAAAAAUAUGCGAUAAAAAGCAAGCUACGAUACACCCAUCUUCUUCUUUAUGACAUACGGGCUGCCUGGGAAUUAACAAGUUCAGAAUUCCUUGAUCUGCUACAUGAAGAGGCUAUUAACAUUGUCACUCACCACCCAUGGAUGCAGGGCAUUGACCUAGCAAUAAUAACAGAGUGUUACCUGUAUGAGUUAUUCUUGCUAUAUAGUUUCCACAGGGCCACUGGAUUUGAUUGGGUAGCUCAUGCUCCAAGCUACUGGACGUGCGAUAGGAUAAUUAAAGAGGACGGAAUAAGGAAGAUUAGUGAUACACUGCAUCAGGAAAUAUGUUGGGUGCAUGAUGCUUCCGAGCUUGGCAUGUUAUUUGAAGAACUCAUGGAAGAUGAUGUGGAGGCUCCAUGUUUUGGUAGUCAAAGACAAUAUUUCCUUCUUUAAGAAGAGGUCAUAUCGUUGGGUUUCUAUCACCUCAAAGAAUAUAAAAUUACAUGAGGAUAUGAAAGCUAUAUUGGAAAUCGCAACGUCAUUGUUUGUAGCGAUUGAAAAGUUGGAUUGUCCACAAGACUUACCAGAUGAUCUUCUUAAACAUUGCGGCAAUCUUGGUGUGCUAAUUCUC